This 253-nucleotide ribosomal RNA is filed under the name uncultured bacterium. Its description in RNAcentral is "partial 16S ribosomal RNA". It matches the Rfam family "Bacterial small subunit ribosomal RNA", at positions 524 to 776 of the family's 1533-position model. The record is from RNAcentral.
UACGUAGGGGGCUAGCGUUGUCCGGAAUCAUUGGGCGUAAAGCGCGUGUAGGCGGCCCGAUAAGUCCGCUGUGAAAGUCCAGGGCUCAACCCUGGGAUGCCGGUGGAUACUGUCGGGCUCGAGUCCGGAAGAGGCGAGUGGAAUUCCUGGUGUAGCGGUGAAUGACGCAGAUAUCAGGAGGAACACCAAUGGCGAAAGCAGCUUUCUGGGACGGUACUGACGCUGAGACGCGAAAGCGUGGGGAGCGAACAGG